RNAcentral lists this ribosomal RNA (218 nucleotides) under uncultured bacterium. RNAcentral's name for it is "partial 16S ribosomal RNA". It matches the Rfam family "Bacterial small subunit ribosomal RNA", at positions 328 to 539 of the family's 1533-position model. The record is from RNAcentral.
ACGCUCGACACCUACGGAGGCAGCAGUGAGGAAUAUUGGUCAAUGGGCGCUAGCCUGAACCAGCCAAGUAGCGUGAAGGAUGAAGGCUCUAUGGGUCGUAAACUUCUUUUAUAUAAGAAUAAAGUGCAGUAUGUAUACUGUUUUGUAUGUAUUAUAUGAAUAAGGAUCGGCUAACUCCGUGCCUAGCAGCCGCGGUAAUCUGAGCGGGCUGGCAAGGC